UGGGCAUGCGGCGCAUUAGCUGGUUGGCGGGGUAACGGCCCACCAAGGCGACGAUGCGUAGGGGUUCUGAGAGGAAGGUCCCCCACACUGGUACUGAGACACGGACCAGACUCCUACGGGAGGCAGCAGUGAGGAAUAUUGGUCAAUGGGCGGGAGCCUGAACCAGCCAAGUCGCGUGAGGGAAGACGGUCCUAUGGAUUGUAAACCUCUUUAGGCGGGGAGCAAUGCCGGGCACGCGUGCCCGGAGGGAGAGUACCCGCAGAAUAAGCAUCGGCUAACUCCGUGCCAGCAGCCGCGGUAAUACGGAGGAUGCGAGCGUUAUCCGGAUUUAUUGGGUUUAAAGGGUGCGUAGGCGGAUUUUUAAGUCAGCGGUAAAAUGUCCGGGCUCAACCCGGGCCGGCCGUUGAAACUGGGGAUCUUGAGUGGGCGAGAAGUAUGCGGAAUGCGUGGUGUAGCGGUGAAAUGCAUAGAUAUCACGCAGAACUCCGAUUGCGAAGGCAGCAUACCGGCGCCCGACUGACGCUGAGGCACGAAAGCGUGGGGAUCGAACAGGAUUAGAUACCCUGGUAGUCCACGCAGUAAACGAUGAAUGCUAGUUGUCCGGUUCUUGGGACUGG
RNAcentral lists this ribosomal RNA (617 nucleotides) under uncultured bacterium. Its description in RNAcentral is "bacterial SSU rRNA". It matches the Rfam family "Bacterial small subunit ribosomal RNA", at positions 226 to 842 of the family's 1533-position model. The record is from RNAcentral.